Molecule: ribosomal RNA, 396 nt
Filed under: uncultured bacterium
Lineage: Bacteria
Description: partial 16S ribosomal RNA
Rfam family: Bacterial small subunit ribosomal RNA
Source: RNAcentral
AUACGUAGGGGGCAAGCGUUAUCCGGAUUUACUGGGUGUAAAGGGAGCGUAGACGGAAGGCCAAGUCUGAUGUGAAAGCCCGCGGCUCAACUGCGGGACUGCAUUGGAAACUGGUCAUCUGGAGUGCAGGAGGGGUAAGCGGAAUUCCUAGUGUAGCGGUGAAAUGCGUAGAUAUUAGGAGGAACACCGGUGGCGAAGGCGGCUUACUGGACUGUAACUGACGUUGAGGCUCGAAAGCGUGGGGAGCAAACAGGAUUAGAUACCCUGGUAGUCCACGCUGUAAACGAUGAAUACUAGGUGUGGGGGGACUGAGCCCCUCCGUGCCGCAGUUAACACAAUAAGUAUUCCACCUGGGGAGUACGAUCGCAAGAUUGAAACUCAAAGGAAUUGACGGGG